Molecule: transfer RNA, 75 nt
Filed under: Deltaproteobacteria bacterium 13_1_40CM_4_68_19
Lineage: Bacteria; Deltaproteobacteria
Also listed under: 3 other names
Description: tRNA-Val
Rfam family: tRNA
About the family: Transfer RNA (tRNA) molecules are approximately 80 nucleotides in length. Their secondary structure includes four short double-helical elements and three loops (D, anti-codon, and T loops).
Source: RNAcentral
GCGUCCUUAGUUCAGCGGUAGAACACCACCUUGACACGGUGGGGGUCGCUGGUUCGAUUCCAGCAGGACGCACCA